GUCUACGGCCAUGCCACCCUGAACAAGCCCAAUCUCGUCUGAUCUUGGAAGCUAAGCAGGGUCAGGCCUUAUUAGUAUUUGGAUUCCUAGGAGAUCACCUAGGAAGACCAGGUGCUGUAGGUG
RNAcentral lists this ribosomal RNA (123 nucleotides) under Pteropus alecto (black flying fox). The record is from RNAcentral. Lineage: Eukaryota; Metazoa; Chordata; Mammalia; Chiroptera; Pteropodidae.